GACAGAGGGUGCAAACGUUGCUCGGAAUUACUGGGCGUAAAGCGCGUGUAGGCUGACCGGAAAGUCGGGCGUGAAAUCCCUGGGCUCAACCCAGGAACUGCACUCGAAACUCCCGGUCUUGAGUGGUGGAGAGGGAAGUGGAAUUCCUGGUGUAGAGGUGAAAUUCGUAGAUAUCAGGAGGAACACCAGUGGCGAAGGCGGCUUGCCAGAACGCACUCGACGGUGAGGGAUGAAAGCUGGGGGAGCAAACCGG
This 253-nucleotide ribosomal RNA is filed under the name uncultured bacterium. RNAcentral describes it as "partial 16S ribosomal RNA". It matches the Rfam family "Bacterial small subunit ribosomal RNA", at positions 524 to 776 of the family's 1533-position model. The record is from RNAcentral.